Molecule: transfer RNA, 79 nt
Filed under: Bacillota bacterium
Lineage: Bacteria; Bacillati; Bacillota
Also listed under: 1 other name
Description: Firmicutes bacterium (anaerobic digester metagenome) tRNA-Pro
Rfam family: tRNA
About the family: Transfer RNA (tRNA) molecules are approximately 80 nucleotides in length. Their secondary structure includes four short double-helical elements and three loops (D, anti-codon, and T loops).
Source: RNAcentral
CGGGCUGUGGCGCAGUUUGGUUUAGCGCGCUUGACUGGGGGUCAAGAGGUCGCAAGUUCGAAUCUUGUCAGCCCGACCA